AGCGUUGUUCGGAAUCACUGGGCGUAGAGGGCGCGUAGGCGGCCUUGCAAGUCGGUUGGUGAAAGCCCGGGGCUCAACCCCGGAGGUGCGGCCGAGACUGCGAGGCUGGAGGCCGGAAGAGGAGGGUGGAAUACCCAGUGUAGAGGUGAAAUUCGUAGAUAUUGGGUGGAACACCGGUGGCGAAAGCGGCUCUCUGGUCCGGACCUGACGCUGAGGUGCGAAAGCGUGGGGAGCAAACAGG
This 241-nucleotide ribosomal RNA is filed under the name uncultured bacterium. Its description in RNAcentral is "partial 16S ribosomal RNA". It matches the Rfam family "Bacterial small subunit ribosomal RNA", at positions 537 to 776 of the family's 1533-position model. The record is from RNAcentral.